RNAcentral lists this ribosomal RNA (253 nucleotides) under uncultured bacterium. RNAcentral describes it as "partial 16S ribosomal RNA". It matches the Rfam family "Bacterial small subunit ribosomal RNA", at positions 524 to 776 of the family's 1533-position model. The record is from RNAcentral.
UACGAGGGGGGCAAGCGUUGUUCGGAAUUAUUGGGCGUAAAGGGUGCGUAGGCGGUCUGAUAAGUCAUCUGUGAAAUCUAUGGGCUCAACCCAUAGUCUGCAGGCGAAACUGUCGGGCUUGAGUAUGGGAGAGGUGAGUGGAAUUUCCGGUGUAGCGGUGAAAUGCGUAGAUAUCGGAAGGAACACCUGUGGCGAAAGCGGCUCACUGGACCACAACUGACGCUGAGGCGCGAAAGCUAGGGGAGCAAACAGG